Molecule: ribosomal RNA, 663 nt
Filed under: Triticum aestivum (bread wheat)
Lineage: Eukaryota; Viridiplantae; Streptophyta; Magnoliopsida; Poales; Poaceae
Description: partial small subunit ribosomal RNA
Source: RNAcentral
AUGUACAAGGGACGGUCAAUGGCGGGUGCCUUGCUUCGAGGCAGUGACGUCAGUGCCUUGGGGAUGACUUCGCCGACAACGGGAACCUCCCUCUCACUGAGCCCGUCACUGAGAUGUUGCAGCAAUGGGCCUACCCCUACGGCUCUGCAUAUGCCGACACUUAUGGGUUUCCGCGACCAAAUACUCCGUCCGGCCGCUUCUCCAACUAUAAAAUCCAGUCUAAUUUCAUCGGUCAACACUCAGCACUCAACACUAUGUUAUAAGUACUCCCUCUGUCCCAAAAUGCAUAGUGUCAAAAAUGAUCUUACAUUUUGGGACGGAGGGAGUAUUAUGUUAAAGAAAAAUUGUAAUCUUUGCUGCAUAAUAGUUAUCCUACUCACUAUUUUAUUAAUAUCCUACUCAUUAUUUUGCAGAAGCAUGCUUCUACAUCACGCACUAGAUACAAGACGGUGUGACCAAAUAUUAAUAACGACUUGUAUAGACAUUUACACAGCGCAAGGAUCAUUAUCCCAGCCUUCGAAUCAUUUGAUAAACAUACCUCAUUUUAUUCAUGCGAAGCUCAGGAUAUUGAGGCCAAAAACAACAUGCCAACAAAACCGGCUAAUAUGGCUAAAUCACGCCAUGAUUACACAACAACAUGCUAAUCUUGCAAUUCAUUACUAA